Long non-coding RNA from Amphibalanus amphitrite, 401 nucleotides. RefSeq lists it as uncharacterized. The record is from RefSeq and is a predicted model, not a curated record. Lineage: Eukaryota; Metazoa; Arthropoda; Thecostraca; Balanomorpha; Balanidae. The transcript is spliced from 3 exons.
CUACUGCGUGUGCCGGAAAAUACACUACUGGUGGGCCUGCCCCGCGCUGCCACCGGCUUCCUCACCAUUGGAAUUGCCUCGGUGUUUCGCAAGGAGCACUACCUGAGCCGAACUCUCCGCUCGCUGAUUGACAGCUCGACAGCGGUUGAGAGAGCCAACGUCACAGUGGUGGUCCUGCUGGCCGACACCAAUGACACACUCAGGUCCUUCCGGCUGAACCAUCUGUCCAGCCAGUUUCACGGCGAGGUCGCUGAUGGGUUCAUCCAGUUCAUCCAGCCUCCACCUGAUCUGUAUCCCGACCUCAACUUCACGAGUGGUCGACGGCGCACCUUCAACGACAAGCCGGAGCGGGUGGCGUGGAGAACCAAACAGGCACGGGGCAGCUGCACUCUCGGCUGCGG